Molecule: long non-coding RNA, 1656 nt
Organism: Cryptotermes secundus
Lineage: Eukaryota; Metazoa; Arthropoda; Insecta; Blattodea; Kalotermitidae
Exons: 2
Source: RefSeq, a predicted model, not a curated record
AAAGCCUCAGUAGCCCCGGUUAAGCUGCAAACCGGUUAAUCCGCCCCCGGAUAAUCGAGAGUUGACUGUACAUAUUUAUGUGUAUAGUACAUCAUAGAGCAGUAGAGAUGGGUUUUGAAUAGAGGAAUACUUUGUGACUGUGGCAUGCUUACAGUAUUUCAUGUUUAAAUUAAACAGUUUUCUUUGUGUUGCAUGCUGCAUGUUUGUAGUGCUACAAGAUAUUAGAGUUGUUUGCUGUUGCUAACCUUUCCAUCUGAUGGGAAAUGAACUGAGUUCAAUGGUACAAAAUGUCAGUUGGUAUGAGUAUUUGUUUAUUUCUGAUUGCUGAAUGUACAAAAGACAUUUUCUUGUUGAUUGGAAAGGGAUAUGACAUGACAUGACUUGACAUUCUCCUACAGUUAAGAUGUUAAUUCAGCAGUGGAAGCUAGAUAUUAGUAAAGUAUAGUCACUGAAACUGAUAGCUUAGAAAUAUAAUUCUGCAGCAUCAUUUGCUUUUUGCUGUAUGUUAUAUAUGCUCUUCCACCUUCUGCUGUGAGUAAAUUCAUUGAUCAGCUAGUUACAAAUCAGUCUAUCAUCAGUGUAUCAUUUGGACUGAGUAUGUUGGGAUAACUAUUAAACUGUUAUGGAUUGAUCAGAUGUAUACAAAGUAUGCUAUAUUGGUCAUUGCAGACAAAUAUCUUAUUGUGGUAUACAUUGAUUGUAAAAAGAAAGUUAAAUAAAGAUAUGUUGAUUCUGCUCGUGGAGAAAUAAAAUAGUAUAAUUAAUUAAUCCAGAGGAUCAUGAGACUUGCACACAUCUUUUCAUUGUGAGUAUCAGAUAGCUAAAAACUGAGCAGUCUCUCAUAAGAUCCAAAAAUAAAGUGGUUUGUCUUUGAGGCACUCCUUUUUCCUGUAGAUCUCCACUUUCUUGGAGGGAACAUUAACUGAAGAUUGUGAAGUAACUUGAAAAUUUAGUGUAAUUAUAUAAUUCAUUAAUAAAAUCGCACAAAAUCAUUAAUAUUCAGAGAUUUAUUAUAUUAGAAUGAUAUAACAGUAAUAGCUUUUAAUUGCACCUAAAUUCAGUGCAGUUAUUGCCCCCCACCAUACCCCUUUUAUUGACUGAAUGCACUGCAACCGAUGCUAAUUCUUGGGCACUCUUGAGCAAGUGAUCUCUGAUUGCUGACACUUUUCUUGCCAAGGAACCCUUUCUUCAUUAUGCAUAAGAUGUACCUUACAUUCGUCACUCAAUGACUUUUCAUCAGCAGAGCUCUACUUCAUGUUUCACCACAUGUUGGCUGCCGCUAUAUCACCAGAAGAUAUCCUGCUCCAUGGUCCUGGAAUGUGUUCCAAUUUGUGUCAUUGUCAGUAGAAUAGUGGGCAGUGUGUAAAUGGAUUUACAAGUUGCUCUUUUCCUCAGAAGAGUGUGAAGGCUCCUGAAAUUGUGAACAUCACCAAAUUUGUCUCCAGUGGGUCAGUAAGUCUGGCUUCUCUUGUUAUAUACAUUGAGAUAGUACAAUACGAGGGCAGUGACUUGCAUCUAGUCAGUCAGUUUAACAAACCCCAUAUUCCCACCAGACUAAAGCAAAGCUUGUCUUCUUCAAAGAAGUGUAUUUUGAAUUGUGUGCUUUUUAGUUUAUACAUAUAUUAAUUAGUACUAAAUAAAUAACACCAGGGAUCU